RNAcentral lists this ribosomal RNA (584 nucleotides) under uncultured Prevotella sp. Its description in RNAcentral is "bacterial SSU rRNA". It matches the Rfam family "Bacterial small subunit ribosomal RNA", at positions 194 to 776 of the family's 1533-position model. Lineage: Bacteria; Pseudomonadati; Bacteroidota; Bacteroidia; Bacteroidales; Prevotellaceae. The record is from RNAcentral.
GCGACGAAUAAAGAUUUUCAUCGGUCAGGGAUGGGGAUGCGUCUGAUUAGAUUGUUGGCGGGGUAACGGCCCGCCAAGGCUGCGAUCAGUAGGGGUUCUGAGAGGAAGGUCCCCCACAUUGGAACUGAGACACGGUCCAAUCUCCUACGGGAGGCAGCAGUGAGGAAUAUUGGUCAAUGGGCGAGAGCCUGAACCAGCCAAGUAGCGUGCAAGAAGACGGCCCUAUGGGUUGUAAACUGCUUUUAUGCGGGGAUAAAGUGAGGGACGUGUCCCUCAUUGCAGGUACCGCAUGAAUAAGGACCGGCUAAUUCCGUGCCAGCAGCCGCGGUAAUACGGAAGGUCCUGGCGUUAUCCGGAUUUAUUGGGUUUAAAGGGAGCGUAGGCCGUGGAUUAAGCGUGUUGUGAAAUGCAGGUGCUCAACGUAUGCACUGCAGCGCGAACUGGUCCACUUGAGUGUGCGCAACGCAGGCGGAAUUCGUCGUGUAGCGGUGAAAUGCUUAGAUAUGAAGAAGAACUCCGAUUGCGAAGACAGCCUGCGGGAGCACAACUGACGCUAAAGCUCGAAAGUGCGGGUAUCGAACAGG